GGAUGCCUACACGUAUCCUGAAAUUGGAACAAUACAGAGAUUAGCAUGGCCCCUGCACAAGGAAGACAUAGAGAUUCAUAAAGUAUUCUGCAAUAGG
This 97-nucleotide small nuclear RNA is filed under the name Mus pahari (shrew mouse). Lineage: Eukaryota; Metazoa; Chordata; Mammalia; Rodentia; Muridae. The record is from RNAcentral.